This 405-nucleotide ribosomal RNA is filed under the name uncultured bacterium. RNAcentral describes it as "partial 16S ribosomal RNA". It matches the Rfam family "Bacterial small subunit ribosomal RNA", at positions 30 to 526 of the family's 1533-position model. The record is from RNAcentral.
AUUGAACGCUAGCGGGAUGCUUUACACAUGCAAGUCGAACGAGUGGCGGACGGGUGAGUAAUAUAUCGGAACGUGCCCAGUAGCGGGGGAUAACUACUCGAAAGAGUGGCUAAUACCGCAUACGAUUUGAGCUGCCGAUAUCGUAUUAGCUAGUUGGUUGGGUAAAGGUGUACCAAGGCAACGAUCCGUAGCUGGUUAGAGAGGACGACCAGCCACACUGGGACUGAGACACGGCCCAGACUCCGACGGGAGGCAGCAGUGGGGAAUUUUGGACAAUGGGGGAAACCCGGAUCCAGCCAUCCCGCGUGUAUGAGAAGGCCUUCGGGUUGUAAAGUACUUUUGGCAGAGAAGUGGUAUCUGCAGAAUAAGCAACGGCUAACUACGUGCCAGCAGCCGCGGUAAUAC